RNAcentral lists this long non-coding RNA (1307 nucleotides) under Pan troglodytes (chimpanzee). RNAcentral's name for it is "long non-coding RNA NONPTRT010299". Lineage: Eukaryota; Metazoa; Chordata; Mammalia; Primates; Hominidae. The record is from RNAcentral.
GGGGGUUGUCUCCAGUUUCUUCCUCUCUCAGCAGCUUCCUCAUUGCUAUCUAGUGGAGACGCAAAAGACCUAUAUGGAAUCUGAGAGGCAUCUUCUAACCCAGUCCUGCAAGUCAGAUGGCAUCAAUUGCACUGCAUUGCGUUGAUCAAAAGAGAGUCAUAGGACGGGCAGAGAUUCUGGAGAAGGCAUGGCAGAAGGCUGUGCAUAUCACAAGGCAUGGCUCACUGGGGACCCACUCUGGAGACAAGUUCCAUGAUGUGUAGAUAAGCUAAAUGUGGAAGGUGGAAGGAGGUUUGUUUGCUCAUGAUUCCAAGGUUUGCUAGCCUGAGAAUUCAAGUCAUCACUGUGAUUGAGAUCUCCUGGGACCAAGGGCAGAGAAUGGAGAAGAGAGGCAAGAAUGCAGGUUUGGAAGAACAUCUGUAUUUGACGACUCAGCAUGGUGCUCAGUGAAGGGAGUGAAAUACAGACAUUUUCUUCAAGAAUGUAACAUGGAAUCAGGAGGCUUCUUUGUCACAGGAGACCCGUGAGCUUCCAGAAGGCAAACAAGGACAAAGGCAUCUCCUCCGCAGCAUUCCAGUCCCUGGAUGGCCUUUUCUUCCUCAUGGUUUUGUGCCUAGCCCUCAGCAUGGGCCUCAUGAGGACAGAACGUGUUCAUUGAACAUCGAGUGGAACCAUGGUCAUUCGGGAAUCAGGAACGUUGAGGCUCGUCCUGUUUUCAUCAACUGGACAUGAUGCAUCCUACGUCUCAGCCUCAGCUUCCUCAUCUGCACAGCACAGCUCUCCCGCUGUCCCCACCCCGACACACCCGCGGGGGCCUUGCCUUGGCAGCGCCCUCCUAGUCUAGAUGCCACACAAGACCGAGCCACAGAAAGGCAGGGGCAUCUCACUCACCAGUUUAUUCAGCAUGUCACCCAGGCCCUGGCAUGUGCUAGACACACCACAAACAUUUGGCAAAGUAAAUGCCUUUGACCUUUUUAGUUUAAGUUUACACAUUUGGCAAAAGUUGCAUUCUGUUCAUUGUCACUUCGCUUUCUAAUGUUUCUUUUUCUAUAAAUAGAGUCAAUACGGAAGCACGAGAACCUUCCUAUGCCUGUCACUGUCUCAUGGAUUUAUAAAAACAUGAGAGAACCCUUAAUCCCUGUUGAAAGUUUUAUUGUGGGGGUUCUAUAAAUUCAUUUAUUCAAAAGCGAAUCUAUUUAACACCUACUAUGUGCUCUCUGUAUUAGGUGCUGGAGAUAUAGCAGGGGACAAACUGAUAAAAACACUGGCCUUGUGGCACUUACAUCUGGUAGAGGCACUCACAUGAU